AGCCCCAAAUUCUCUCCACUCGAUCUCCAAUCCUCUUAGGCCGCAGCUCCCUGCUCGCCUCCGCCGCGCGCUGCCCCCACCCGUCCCCGUCCCCGUCCCCUUCGCCAUCGGCAAAGGCCGGAGCACUGCCCUCCGCCGCGCCGCCUCCUGCAGCCUGAUCGAACCCGACGGCGGCACGCUGGUGGACCUCGUUGCGCGGGAGGGCCCGGCGAGGGAGGCGCUCCGCCGGGAUGCGGCGCGGUGCCCGCAGAUCAAGCUCUCGAGGAUCGAUCUCGAGUGGGUGCACGUGCUCAGCGAAGGGUGGGCGAGCCCGCUUUGCGGGUUCAUGAGGGAAGCUGAGUUCCUCCA
RNAcentral lists this long non-coding RNA (348 nucleotides) under Musa acuminata (dwarf banana). RNAcentral's name for it is "long non-coding RNA (MACU_LNC004819)". The record is from RNAcentral. Lineage: Eukaryota; Viridiplantae; Streptophyta; Magnoliopsida; Zingiberales; Musaceae.